GUGUGUAUAGCUCAGCGAUAGAGCGCGUGCUUAGCAUGCAAAAGAUCCUGGGUUCAAUUCCCAGCAUCCCCA
RNAcentral lists this transfer RNA (72 nucleotides) under Camelus bactrianus (Bactrian camel). It matches the Rfam family "tRNA". From Rfam's summary of the family: Transfer RNA (tRNA) molecules are approximately 80 nucleotides in length. Their secondary structure includes four short double-helical elements and three loops (D, anti-codon, and T loops). Lineage: Eukaryota; Metazoa; Chordata; Mammalia; Artiodactyla; Camelidae. The record is from Rfam by way of RNAcentral. RNAcentral also lists the same sequence under 2 other names.